GACGAACGCUGGCGGCGUGCUUAACACAUGCAAGUCGAACGGAAAGGCCCUGCUUUUGUGGGGUGCUCGAGUGGCGAUCGGGUGAGUAACACGUGAGUAACCUGCCCUUGACUUUGGGAUAACUUCAGGAAACUGGGGCUAAUACCGGAUAGGAGCUCCUGCUGCAUGGUGGGGGUUGGAAAGUUUCGGCGGUUGGGGAUGGACUCGCGGCUUAUCAGCUUGUUGGUGGGGUAGUGGCUUACCAAGGCUUUGACGGGUAGCCGGCCUGAGAGGGUGACCGGCCACAAUGGUACUGAGAUACGGCGCAGACUCCUACGGGAGGCAGCAGUGGGGAAUAUUGCACAAUGGGCGGAAGCCUGAUGCAGCAACGCCGCGUGCGUGAUGACGGCCUUCGGGGUGUAAACCGCUUUCGCCUGUGACGAAGCGUGAGUGACGGUAAUGGGUAAAGAAGCACCGGCUAACUACGUG
RNAcentral lists this ribosomal RNA (468 nucleotides) under uncultured bacterium. RNAcentral describes it as "partial 16S ribosomal RNA". It matches the Rfam family "Bacterial small subunit ribosomal RNA", at positions 28 to 507 of the family's 1533-position model. The record is from RNAcentral.